This 203-nucleotide long non-coding RNA is filed under the name Hordeum vulgare. RNAcentral's name for it is "long non-coding RNA (HVUL_LNC018431)". Lineage: Eukaryota; Viridiplantae; Streptophyta; Magnoliopsida; Poales; Poaceae. The record is from RNAcentral.
UUGCAUGUUGACGGAACUCCACAUUUAACUAUUUGGUUCACUCCCAUUUAUUUACACAACAAUGUUAAAUGUUGUUAAACAUGGCACAAGGUUAAGCAUAAACUAAACGACCUAUCUAGGUAUUCUAAAUGAGGCUGGAAACGACAUAUAACAUCUUCGAACAGACCCCAUGUGUUAAAUUCUAAAUCUGUCUAGAUUUGUCC